RNAcentral lists this unclassified non-coding RNA (310 nucleotides) under plant metagenome. RNAcentral describes it as "partial contains 5.8S ribosomal RNA, internal transcribed spacer 2, and large subunit ribosomal RNA". The stretch from base 1 to 105 matches the Rfam family "5.8S ribosomal RNA", at positions 50 to 154 of the family's 154-position model. The record is from RNAcentral.
GAAAUGCGAUAAGUAGUGUGAAUUGCAGAAUUCAGUGAAUCAUCGAAUCUUUGAACGCACAUUGCGCCCCUUGGUAUUCCAUGGGGCAUGCCUGUUCGAGCGUCAUUUGUACCCUCAAGCUCUGCUUGGUGUUGGGUGUUUGUCCCCGUCUCCGCGCGUGGACUCGCCCCAAAGUGAUUGGCAGCCGGCGUACUGGUCCCGGAGCGCAGCACAUGUCGCGUAAACGAGUGCCUUGGUACGGCGGCGUCCAUAAGCCCCUCUCUCACGCUCUUGACCUCGGAUCAGGUAGGGAUACCCGCUGAACUUAAGC